CCUACGGGAGGCUGCAGUAGGGAAUAUUGCUCAAUGGGGGAAACCCUGAAGCAGCAACGCCGCGUGGAGGAUGAAGGUUUUAGGAUUGUAAACUCCUUUUGUGAGAGAUGAUAAUGAUGGUAUUUCACGAAUAAGCACCGGCUAACUCCGUCCCAGCAGCCGCCGUAAUACGGAGGGUGCAAGCGUUACUCGGAAUCACUGGGCGUAGAGAGUGUGGAGGCGGGCUUGUAAGUCAGAUGUGAAAUCCUGGAGCUUAACAACAGAACUGCAUUUGAAACUAUGAGUCUAGAGUGUGGGAGAGGUAGGUGGAAUUCUUGGUGUAGGGGUAAAAUGCGUAGAUAUCAAGAGGAAUACUCAGUGCGAAGGCGACCUACUGGAAGAUUACUGACGCUCAUGCACGAAAGCGUGGGGAGCAAACAGGAUGAGAUACCCCAGUAGUC
RNAcentral lists this ribosomal RNA (440 nucleotides) under uncultured bacterium. RNAcentral describes it as "partial 16S ribosomal RNA". It matches the Rfam family "Bacterial small subunit ribosomal RNA", at positions 338 to 795 of the family's 1533-position model. The record is from RNAcentral.